AUUGAACGCUGGCGGCAGGCCUAACACAUGCAAGUCGAGCGGAUGAAGGGAGCUUGCUCCUGAAUUCAGCGGCGGACGGGUGAGUAAUGCCUAGGAAUCUGCCUGGUAGUGGGGGAUAACGUCCGGAAACGGGCGCUAAUACCGCAUACGUCCUGAGGGAGAAAGUGGGGGAUCUUCGGACCUCACGCUAUCAGAUGAGCCUAGGUCGGAUUAGCUAGUUGGUGGGGUAAGGGCCUACCAAGGCGACGAUCCGUAACUGGUCUGAGAGGAUGAUCAGUCACACUGGAACUGAGACACGGUCCAGACUCCUACGGGAGGCAGCAGUGGGGAAUAUUGGACAAUGGGCGAAAGCCUGAUCCAGCCAUGCCGCGUGUGUGAAGAAGGUCUUCGGAUUGUAAAGCACUUUAAGUUGGGAGGAAGGGCAGUAAGUUAAUACCUUGCUGUUUUGACGUUACCAACAGAAUAAGCACCGGCUAACUUCGUG
This 484-nucleotide ribosomal RNA is filed under the name uncultured bacterium. RNAcentral's name for it is "partial 16S ribosomal RNA". It matches the Rfam family "Bacterial small subunit ribosomal RNA", at positions 30 to 507 of the family's 1533-position model. The record is from RNAcentral.